CUACGGGGCGCUGCAGUGGGGAAUAUUGCACAAUGGAGGAAACUCUGAUGCAGCAACGCCGCGUGGAGGAUGACACUUUUCGGAGCGUAAACUCCUUUUAUAUAGGAAGAAGAUGACGGUACUAUAUGAAUAAGCGCCGGCUAACUCCGUGCCAGCAGCCGCGGUAAUACGGAGGGCGCAAGCGUUACUCGGAAUCACUGGGCGUAAAGAGCGUGUAGGCGGAUUAAAAAGUCAGAAGUGAAAUCCUAUAGCUUAACUAUAGAACUGCUUCUGAAACUCUUAAUGCAGAAUAUGGGAGAGGUAGAUGGAAUUUCUGGUGUAGGGGUAAAAUCCGUAGAGAUCAGAAGGAAUACCGAUUGCGAAGGCGAUCUACUAGAACAUUAUUGACGCUGAGACGCGAAAGCGUGGGGAGCAAACAGGAUUAGAUACCCCAGUAGUC
Molecule: ribosomal RNA, 439 nt
Filed under: uncultured bacterium
Lineage: Bacteria
Description: partial 16S ribosomal RNA
Rfam family: Bacterial small subunit ribosomal RNA
Source: RNAcentral